ACUGAUUCAAAUAAAAAGGGAAAAAAGCAUUUAUUCCGGUCAAUUUCGGGCAUAUUGAUGAGUCCAGAUCAGAUUCUGUCACUCUCAUUUUCAGCCAAAACAAGCUCAUGGGUUCUAUUCUGCUUCACUAUAUUAGUUGAGGUCUAGAGUCAAUAACAAGAACUCACCCCAAGAGUGGCUGAAUUAGCAGUUCAAGCAAAUUCAACUAAAGAAGAAGGCUUAUGCA
RNAcentral lists this long non-coding RNA (226 nucleotides) under Elaeis guineensis (African oil palm). Its description in RNAcentral is "long non-coding RNA (EGUI_LNC023338)". The record is from RNAcentral. Lineage: Eukaryota; Viridiplantae; Streptophyta; Magnoliopsida; Arecales; Arecaceae.